GACGAACGCUGGCGGCGUGCUUAACACAUGCAAGUCGAACGGAAAGGCCUGCUUUCCCUUGUGGAUUGCGGGUACUCGAGUGGCGAACGGGUGAGUAACACGUGAGUGAUCUGCCCCCAACUUGGGUAUAAGCCUGGGAAACUGGGUCUAAUUCCCGAUAGGACUGCAGGGUGGUGCCUGUGGUGGAAAACGAUUUUCUAGUGGUUGGGGAUGAGCUCGCGGCCUAUCAGCUUGUUGGUGGGGUAAUGGCCUACCAAGGCGGCGACGGGUAGCCGGCCUGGGAGGGUGGACGGCCACAUUGGGACUGAGAUACGGCCCAGACUCCUACGGGAGGCAGCAGUGGGGAAUAUUGUACAAUGGGCGGAAGCCUGAUGCAGCGACGCCGCGUGGGGGAUGACGGCCUUCGGGUUGUAAACUCCUUUCGACCGCGAGGAAGCCACCUGGUUGGAAGGGUGGUGACGGUAGUGGUAGAAGAAGCACCGGCUAACUACGUG
This 494-nucleotide ribosomal RNA is filed under the name uncultured bacterium. Its description in RNAcentral is "partial 16S ribosomal RNA". It matches the Rfam family "Bacterial small subunit ribosomal RNA", at positions 28 to 507 of the family's 1533-position model. The record is from RNAcentral.